This 440-nucleotide ribosomal RNA is filed under the name uncultured bacterium. RNAcentral's name for it is "partial 16S ribosomal RNA". It matches the Rfam family "Bacterial small subunit ribosomal RNA", at positions 338 to 795 of the family's 1533-position model. The record is from RNAcentral.
CCUACGGGUGGCAGCAGUGGGGAAUAUUGGACAAUGGGGGAAACCCUGAUCCAGCGACGCCGCGUGAGUGAAGAAGUCUUUCGGUAUGUAAAGCUCUAUCAGCAGGGAAGAAAAUGAUGGUAUCUGCGUAGGAAGCCCCGCCUAACUACGUGCUAGCAGCCGCGGGAUUACGUAGGGGGCAAGCGUUAUCCGGAUUUAUUGGGGGUAAAGGGAGCGUAGACGGCAGUGCAAGUCUGGAGUGAAAGGCGGUGGCUCACCCCCCGGACUGCUCUGGAAACUGUGUAGCUGGAGUGCAGGAGAGGCAGGCGGAAUUCCUAGUGUAGCGGUGAAAUGCGUAGAUAUUAGGAGGAACACCAGUGGCGAAGGCGGCUUACUGGACUGCAACUGACGUUGAGGCUCGAAAGCGUGGGGAGCAAACAGGAUUAGAUACCCGAGUAGUC